This 74-nucleotide transfer RNA is filed under the name Candidatus Methanolliviera hydrocarbonicum. RNAcentral describes it as "tRNA-Ile". It matches the Rfam family "tRNA". From Rfam's summary of the family: Transfer RNA (tRNA) molecules are approximately 80 nucleotides in length. Their secondary structure includes four short double-helical elements and three loops (D, anti-codon, and T loops). RNAcentral also lists the same sequence under 1 other name. The record is from RNAcentral. Lineage: Archaea; Methanobacteriati; Methanobacteriota; Candidatus Methanoliparia; Candidatus Methanoliparales; Candidatus Methanollivieraceae.
GGGCCCGUAGCUUAGCCAGGUGGAGCGCACGGCUGAUAACCGUGAGGUCGCCGGUUCAAACCCGGCCGGGCCCA